This 270-nucleotide long non-coding RNA is filed under the name Phaseolus vulgaris (common bean). RNAcentral describes it as "long non-coding RNA (PVUL_LNC000352)". The record is from RNAcentral. Lineage: Eukaryota; Viridiplantae; Streptophyta; Magnoliopsida; Fabales; Fabaceae.
CAAAAGGGUGUGGGAACCCUUCUUAGCAAAACUCAAGAUGAUGGCAGAGGACUUCCCCUCCAUCAUAUCAAAAGCUGUGGAGAGUUCCAGCAAGAAACUCCAGGAUGACAUCUCCGUGCUCCAGGAGGAGAAUCGCCUAAUAAGGAUUGAGGCGGAGAAGUUGUCCUGCAACCUUAUGCUGGCGGAGAUCGACCACUCGCGGGUGGAGGAUGCUAUGAGCACCGAGCUGCGGGUGGCGCGCAAGGAAGCCACCGAUCUACGCCAUAGGGU